CGAGCGUUAGGCGGAAUCACUGGGCUUAAAGCGUGUGUAGGCGGAUGGGUAAGUACCUUGUGAAAUCCCACGGCUCAACCGUGGAACUGCUCGGUAUACUGCUCGUCUUGAGCCAACUAGGGGCGACCGGAACAAACGGUGGAGCGGUGAAAUGCGUAGAUAUCGUUUGGAACGCCGAUGGUGAAAACAGGUCGCUGGGGUUGUGCUGACGCUGAGACACGAAAGCCAGGGGAGCGAACGGG
RNAcentral lists this ribosomal RNA (242 nucleotides) under uncultured bacterium. RNAcentral's name for it is "partial 16S ribosomal RNA". It matches the Rfam family "Bacterial small subunit ribosomal RNA", at positions 535 to 776 of the family's 1533-position model. The record is from RNAcentral.